GUGCCAGCAGCCGCGGUAAUACGGAGGGUGCAAGCGUUACUCGGAAUCACUGGGCGUAAAGGACGAGUAGGCUGGCGGUCAAGUCUGAUGUGAAAUCCUACAGCUUAAACUGUAGAACUGCAUUGGAAACUGACCGCCUAGAGUAUGGGAGGGGGAGAUGGAAUUAGUGGUGUACGGGGUAAAAUCCGUAGAUAUCACUAGGAAUACCUAAAGCGAAGGCGAUCUCCUGGAACAUUACUGACGCUAAGGCGUGAAAGCGUGGGGAGCAAACGGGAUUAGAUACCCCGGUAGUCCACGCCCUAAACGAUGAACACUAGUCGUCGGGAAGCUUGUCUUCUCGGUGAUGCACUUAACAGAUUAAGUGUUCCGCCUGGGGAGUACGGUCGCAGAGAUUAAAACUCAAAGGAAUAGACGGGGACCCGCACAAGUGGUGGAGCAUGUGGUUUAAUUCGACGAUACGCGAAGAACCUUACCUGGCCUUGACAUUGAUUGAAUACACCAGAGAUGGAGUUAGUGCCCUUCGGGGAGCAUGAAAACAGGUGCCUGUCACGGCUGUCGUCAGCUCGUGUCGUGAGAUGUUGGGUUAAGUCCCGCAAGCGAGCGCAACCCCUCGUCCUUAGUUUGCCCAGGCAAGGUUAAGCUGGGGCAACUCCUAGGGAAGACUGCCUUUCGUAAGGAGGGAGGAAGGUGAGGAACGACGUCAAGUCAUCAUGGCCCUUACGGCCAGGGCUACACACGUGCUACAAUGGGGCGUACAGAGUGUUGCGAUACCCCAAGGUGGAGACUAAUCACUAAAAGCGUCCCUCAGUUCGGAUUGGAGUCUGCAACUCCGACUCCAUGAAGCUGGAAUCACUAGUAAUCGUAGAUCAGCAAUGCUACGGGGAAUACGUUCCCGGGUCUUGUACUCACCGCCCGU
This 916-nucleotide ribosomal RNA is filed under the name uncultured bacterium. RNAcentral describes it as "bacterial SSU rRNA". It matches the Rfam family "Bacterial small subunit ribosomal RNA", at positions 505 to 1397 of the family's 1533-position model. The record is from RNAcentral.